This is a long non-coding RNA of Cervus elaphus (red deer), 949 nucleotides long. RefSeq lists it as uncharacterized. The record is from RefSeq and is a predicted model, not a curated record. Lineage: Eukaryota; Metazoa; Chordata; Mammalia; Artiodactyla; Cervidae. The transcript has 3 exons.
CCGGCGCUGACCCUGCACCUGUGAAACCUAGGCCGGUGGACGAGCGCCUAAAGGCACCGUUCAUGGAGAGGCAAGCUCUCCCUUAUCCCACAGACUGCAGUCUUCUACUCGGUGUCAUUUGUCAGUUAAGGCGUUAAAUAUUUAUUGAGCACCUACUUUGGUAGAGCCUUCGUGCAGAACGCGGGACAUCCUCAGGUCAUGGGGAACCUAUUGCAUUUGGCUUUGGGAUUCCUUUUCGGGCACUGGUUCCAGCCCUCUCUUUGACCAGGUGAGAGUGACAUUUAAGUCAGUGGACUUUGAGUGAAGCUGAUUGCAUUCCUUAAUGUGGGUGGGCCUUAUACAACAGAAAAAGACUGAAGUCCCUUGAAAAAAGAAAUAAGAAUUGUGGAGUUGAACUGCAACUCUUCCCUGGGCCUCCAGCAUGCCUGCUCACCCUGAAGAUUUUGAACUUGUCGGCCUCCACAAUCACUGCACAGAGAAGCAGCACUCUACAGGAGCUGGGACCACACACUUGAGACACCAAUGCCCUGGGUUGAAGUCCUGGCUCAGCCACUUCCUACCUCACACUCCGGCAGGUCAUUGACACUCCCUGCCUGUCUUCUCAGGAGUAAGGUAGGGCUGAUAACAGUUCCUUCAUCGGAGAGCUGAUUUGAAGAUUGAGUUAUAAUUGGAUAGUGAAUAUAUCAUUAUGUAAAUGUAUGCAAGGUAAAAUUUUAAAUAAGACAUCGAUGAGAAUGAAAAGUCGAAUUAAAAACUGGGAAAAGACAUUUACAGCACUUGACAACUGACCCAAGGUGUUAGAAUGUUUAUCUAUCUCCAUUCAUCCAUUCCUGUUCAUACUGUUCCUGGGGUUCUCAAGGCAAGAAUACUGAAGUGGUUUGCCAUUCCCGUCUCCAGUGGAUCACGCUUUGUCAGGCCUCUCCACCAUGACACGUCCGUCUUGGGUGGC